RNAcentral lists this small nucleolar RNA (86 nucleotides) under Pseudomassariella vexata. Its description in RNAcentral is "Small nucleolar RNA snR73". It matches the Rfam family "Small nucleolar RNA snR73". Lineage: Eukaryota; Fungi; Ascomycota; Sordariomycetes; Amphisphaeriales; Pseudomassariaceae. The record is from Rfam by way of RNAcentral.
UUAAAUGAUGAUCCAAUAAUUCACGACGGUCAACAUAGCUCUAUGGGCAUUGAUGACAUCGCCUUUGACAAGGCUUCGAUCUGAUA